RNAcentral lists this ribosomal RNA (256 nucleotides) under uncultured Actinomycetales bacterium. RNAcentral describes it as "partial 16S ribosomal RNA". It matches the Rfam family "Bacterial small subunit ribosomal RNA", at positions 77 to 334 of the family's 1533-position model. The record is from RNAcentral. Lineage: Bacteria; Bacillati; Actinomycetota; Actinomycetes; Actinomycetales.
GUUUUGUGGGGUGCUCGAGUGGCGAACGGGUGAGUAACACGUGAGUAACCUGCCCUUGACUUUGGGAUAACUUCAGGAAACUGGGGCUAAUACCGGAUAGGAGCUCCUACUGCAUGGUGGGGGUUGGAAAGUUUCGGCGGUUGGGGAUGGACUCGCGGCUUAUCAGCUUGUUGGUGGGGUAGUGGCUUACCAAGGCUUUGACGGGUAGCCGGCCUGAGAGGGUGACCGGCCACAUUGGGACUGAGAUACGGCCCAG